AUACGGAGGGUGCAAGCGUUAAUCGGAAUUACUGGGCGUAAAGCGUACGUAGGCGGUUCGUUAAGUUAGAUGUGAGAGCCCCGGGCUUAACCUGGGAACUGCAUUUAAAACUGGCGAACUAGAGUUGAGUAGAGGGGAGUGGAAUUUCAGGUGUAGCGGUGAAAUGCGUAGAGAUCUGAAGGAACACCAGUGGCGAAGGCGACUCCCUGGACUCGAACUGACGCUGAGGUACGAAAGCGUGGGUAGCAAACGGGAUUAGAAACCCUAGUAGUCC
Molecule: ribosomal RNA, 274 nt
Filed under: uncultured bacterium
Lineage: Bacteria
Description: partial 16S ribosomal RNA
Rfam family: Bacterial small subunit ribosomal RNA
Source: RNAcentral